Molecule: long non-coding RNA, 1652 nt
Organism: Betta splendens (Siamese fighting fish)
Lineage: Eukaryota; Metazoa; Chordata; Actinopteri; Anabantiformes; Osphronemidae
Exons: 3
Source: RefSeq, a predicted model, not a curated record
GCUUCGGACGUUAUCACGGCAUUCAAUGGCCAUUAUCAGUGGUUGUCAGCUUAUACUUAUGGGCCAAUAGGUGCCUACUCCACCUACUGACAGCGGUGAGUAGGUGCAGCAGGUCGUCGUCAUCUAUUCCUAAAGUAGAUCACGGCUUGGAGGACCAAACCAACUGAAUCCAGAUCCACUAGAGGCGCUGUUGAACCCUUUUUCUUCACACGGGAGAAUCGACGCGCUGACCAAGGUAACAAGUUCAUGUAGUCAGAUGAUAUUUCCUAUAACUUUUAGGUAAAACAUCCAAUUGUGGGAGGCAAAUUUUUAAAUUGGCAUUAUCAAACUGGCAAAUUAUCACAUUAACGCUUUUCAUCGUGGAAAUGUUCCCCUGUUUAGGAUUUUGAUUAUAUUAGCCAGCGUAACUCAGCCACUAGCUAGCUGUAUUCUGUUCUCCCAUUUCAGACGAUAAUUUUAUUACUCCAAUAUUUUUUGGGGUUAUGUGGACAAUAUAAAGUUGUUUUGUACCGUGAACACUAACUUUUCCUACUUCGUUUCUGAGAAAUCCGUCGAGUUUGGUCGGUAAUUUAGUCGUAGUGCGUAGUGUAAAGUACUACAAUACCCAUGAUCCUUAGAUGCUGUUAUCGAGAUACGGCCUAUACGCCAGUCAUGGAUGUGUCGUGAGAUCCGUAACGAACAGAAAACGCUUUGUUAUUAAAGGUAUGCGUAUACAUUCCUAAACCUAGAGUUUUCUAAUGCACCCAUGGGGGAUUCACUAAUUAAAACAGAACACGUUACGUGUAGUUAGUGAAAUACGUUUAAUUACGGCGUAAUGCUUAUUCCCCGCCGUAAGAAGGUCACAUGACCGAAUUUUAAGAUCAAUGAUUGGGUCUUGUUCUUCAACGUCACAUAGAGAGUCGCAGUUAAAUUAUGGUCACGACUAGAUCACAAAAGUUUUUUACAUCCACGUUCUAGUAUUCUCUAUGCUCAAAGAUAAUGUCAUACACCUUAAACACGUUAUUUAUCUUCUCUCUUUCUGUUUGUAUUUCUCUUAGGCAGGAUGGAAGAAAGGGGCAGAACAAUGAUAACAGACAAGCAAAAACAAUCUUUAAAACACUUUUUUGAAAAAGGAAUGAGAAGUGUUGGGUCUCCAUUGGUACAAGCAGCUGCUGAAACCACUGCGUUGCUGCCUUCUAUCAUAGAGAAUUGGAUUGGAAAUUUUAAACGAACGUUGCAAGGACCUUCUAAAGUGAGACCCAUGAAAAACAAGCUGUAUAAACGAAACCUAUCACCAUACAAUCUUUUUUGUAGAGACCAUCUGCAAAACAAAGGUAAAAGAGCUGGCGUGAUCAAUGUCUUAUUUCAUAGCAUAUGUAGUAUAUUUAUAAAGUAAGUAUUUAUUUAAACAGUAUGUUAUCACAGUUGUUUAUAUUUCACCAUUGAAACCUAUGGCAAAAAAAUAUAUUUUAUAGAUUAUGAUGUUUAAACAUAUUUCACAUAUUCAUGGCUAACAGGAAAUACUGUGGGAACAGGCCAAAUUAUAUUUUCUCUAUGAUUUUGAGGAUUCAUUCUAGUCAAAGGUUAUGUCUCUAAGUCUAAGUGUCUCAACUUUCUACUAAUACUCUACUACUACUACUACUACUACUACUACUACUACUACUACUACUACU